This 506-nucleotide ribosomal RNA is filed under the name uncultured bacterium. Its description in RNAcentral is "partial 16S ribosomal RNA". It matches the Rfam family "Bacterial small subunit ribosomal RNA", at positions 29 to 523 of the family's 1533-position model. The record is from RNAcentral.
AGUGAACGCUGGCGGUAGGCCUAACACAUGCAAGUCGAACGGCAGCACAGGAGAGCUUGCUCUCUGGGUGGCGAGUGGCGGACGGGUGAGGAAUACAUCGGAAUCUACUCUGUCGUGGGGGAUAACGUAGGGAAACUUACGCUAAUACCGCGUACGACCUACGGGUGAAAGCAGGGGACCUUCGGGCCUUGCGCGAUUGAAUGAGCCGAUGUCGGAUUAGCUAGUUGGCGGGGUAAAGGCCCACCAAGGCGACGAUCCGUAGCUGGUCUGAGGGGAUGAUCAGCCACACUGGAACUGAGACACGGUCCAGACUCCUACGGGAGGCAGCAGUGGGGAAUAUUGGACAAUGGGCGCAAGCCUGAUCCAGCCAUACCGCGUGGGUGAAGAAGGCCUACGGGUUGUAAAGCCCUUUUGUUGGGAAAGAAAUCCAGCUGGCUAAUACCCGGUUGGGAUGACGGUACCCAAAGAAUAAGCACCGGCUAACUUCGUGCCAGCCGCCGCGGUAA